KCAUCGGCUAACUCCGUGCCAGCAGCCGCGGUAAUACGGGGGAUGCAAGCGUUAUCCGGAAUCAUUGGGCGUAAAGCGCCUGUAGGUUGUUUAAUAAGUCUGUUGUUAAAGACUAGGGCUUAACCCUAGAAAAGCAAUGGAAACUACUAGACUAGAGUAUGGCAGGGGUAGAGGGAAUUUCUAGUGUAGCGGUGAAAUGCGUAGAUAUUAGAAAGAACACCGGUGGCGAAAGCGCUCUACUGGACCAUUACUGACACUCAGAGGCGAAAGCUAGGGUAGCAAAAGGGAUUAGAUACCCCUGUAGUCCUAGCCGUAAACGAUGGAUACUAGAUGUUGUGCAUAAAGUACAGUAUCAUAGCUAACGCGUUAAGUAUCCCGCCUGGGGAGUACGCUCGCAAGGGUGAAACUCAAAGGAAUUGACGGGGGCCCGCACAAGCGGUGGAGCAUGUGGUUUAAUUCGAUGCAACGCGAAGAACCUUACCAGGGCUUGACAUACUACAGAUUCUUUUGAGAAAAAGAAGUGCCUUCGGGAAUGUAGAUACAGGUGGUGCAUGGCUGUCGUCAGCUCGUGUCGUGAGAUGUUGGGUUAAGUCCCGCAACGAGCGCAACCCUUAUUUUUAGUUACUAAUUCGUUAGGUUCUCUAGAAAGACUGCCGGUGACAAACCGGAGGAAGGUGAGGAUGACGUCAAGUCAGCAUGCCCCUUAUGUCCUGGGCUACACACGUGCUACAAUGGUUAAGACAAAGAGUCGCGAGCUCGCGAGAGUCAGCUAAUCUCAUAAACUUAGCCUAAGUUCAGAUUGUAGGCUGCAACUCGCCUGCAUGAAG
Molecule: ribosomal RNA, 827 nt
Filed under: Haptophyta environmental samples
Lineage: Eukaryota; Haptophyta
Description: bacterial SSU rRNA
Rfam family: Bacterial small subunit ribosomal RNA
Source: RNAcentral